UCUUCUCUAUCAGCCGUUUACUUUCAACAAGAUUAAAAAAAAAAAGAAAUCUCGUUCUCUUCUCUGAUGAUUAGGGUUCAACCGCUCUAGUUUCUAAUAACGUAUGAAGUCUCAAAUCAAUAAUCUCUCCGAGAUUAAGGUCGAACAAUUUGCUGAUUUCAGAGAUCUCAAAUCCCAAAUCAAGCCCUAAUCUCAAAUCUCAAAAAAUUUCAUUCCUCGGAGUUUGAAUCAAUUGCUGAAAUUUUUGGAUUCCCUGUUAAAUCUUGCAUAUCUUAAUUGUAUCAAGGAUAAAUACACGGUAAUAAUGGGAUAUUGGGUUUGGAAGGUAAUGUUUUGAAGAUGAAGAGAUGAUUGUAGACAUGGGUUUUGUUUGAUUCAUGGACUACAUGAAGUUGGAAGAUGUUGAUGGCUGGUAUAGAGAUUCUUACAGCAAGGAAGUCCUACUAAGAGCAGUGGUGUAGUUAGACCUCAGUUUGAAUCUAACCUUCUUCCUAAAGUCAUGGUAAUCAAUAUUGAAACCCCCUGAAGAACAACAUGACCCUGAUGAUUAUAAAGCAAGAUGCAGGAGAUAUGUGGAAUGGUAAGAGAGCUUCUACAAACUUUGCAGUAUAUGAAGAGACCUGUGUGGACAAGGAUGCAAUCGCGGAGGUGGGUGAAUAUGAAUUUCAUAUUGUUAACCUUUUAGUUACUAACCCAUUUUGUUUACAUGUUCAUAGGUGUUUGGGUGUGAUCGUGGGGGCUUCAUCCGGGGUAUGGAACACCCAGCAUCUCUGAUUCCACUUCAGAGUUUCAUCCACGCUUUGGGCUAUUUGCAUCAUGCAAUUAGCCAAUUACAGGUUCUCCACUAAAGUUGAAUAAUGUUAUUUGAAGACCAAAAAGUUCAGUUAUAGUUCAACAGCAGAAUCAUGUGUCCAACAACUUUUUUAUUGCUUAAAAAGUUUCGUUUUGGUUUGGUGCUUGUGGCAUGUCCUUCGUUGUGUGGAUGGUGAUGGAUUUGGUAAAGAGGCUUUUUAACAAGGACCAGAGAAAAAGAAUGACUGCUGCCCAGGCUUUGAGAAAACUUUUUUGACAAACUGGAAGCAUCAUAUAUCUUAAACGCCUUGACAGUAUUCUCCUUCGAGUUCGUAUCAUGUUUCUUUCUGACGAUUCAAAAACACCAAAAGUCAAACAACAACAUCUUUUACAGAUAGGAUGAACUGAGACGCAUUAGAGAAGAGAUUAUUGUUGCUUGGGGUGAUAGGGAUGAGCUGAGACGCAUCAGAUGUUGCUGCUAUAAACCAAUAGUUAAUUGACAAGCCUUACGCUUGCUGCUUAUGAAGGUAGUCAUCUUUUGUAUUUACCUCUUUUCAAGCGUUAAUUUUUUUAAUUGUUUGUCAGUCCUGGAAAA
Papaver somniferum (opium poppy) is the source of this 1387-nucleotide long non-coding RNA. RefSeq lists it as uncharacterized. Lineage: Eukaryota; Viridiplantae; Streptophyta; Magnoliopsida; Ranunculales; Papaveraceae. The transcript is spliced from 7 exons. The record is from RefSeq and is a predicted model, not a curated record.